GUGCUCGCUUCAGCAACACAUAUACUAAAACUGGAGUGAUACAGGAACAGGAUUAGUAUGGCCCCUGUGCAAGGACGACACGCGAAUUCAUGAAGCGUUCCAUAUUUUU
This is a small nuclear RNA of Mesoplodon densirostris (Blainville's beaked whale), 109 nucleotides long. NCBI's taxonomy places the organism in Eukaryota, Metazoa, Chordata, Mammalia, Artiodactyla, Ziphiidae. The record is from RefSeq and is a predicted model, not a curated record.